Molecule: ribosomal RNA, 253 nt
Filed under: uncultured bacterium
Lineage: Bacteria
Description: partial 16S ribosomal RNA
Rfam family: Bacterial small subunit ribosomal RNA
Source: RNAcentral
UACGUAGGGUGCAAGCGUUGUCCGGAAUUAUUGGGCGUAAAGAGCUCGUAGGCGGUUUGUCGCGUCUGCUGUGAAAACUCGGGGCUUAACUCCGGGCCUGCAGUGGGUACGGGCAGACUAGAGUGCGGUAGGGGUGACUGGAAUUCCUGGUGUAGCGGUGGAAUGCGCAGAUAUCAGGAAGAACACCCGUGGCGAAGGCGGCUCUCUGGGACGGUACUGACGCUGAGACGCGAAAGCGUGGGGAGCGAACAGG